Molecule: non-coding RNA, 85 nt
Filed under: uncultured Cetobacterium sp.
Lineage: Bacteria; Fusobacteriati; Fusobacteriota; Fusobacteriia; Fusobacteriales; Fusobacteriaceae
Description: TPP riboswitch (THI element)
Rfam family: TPP riboswitch aptamer (THI element)
About the family: Vitamin B(1) in its active form thiamin pyrophosphate (TPP) is an essential coenzyme that is synthesised by coupling of pyrimidine and thiazole moieties in bacteria. The previously detected thiamin-regulatory element, thi box was extended, resulting in a new, highly conserved RNA secondary structure, the THI element, which is widely distributed in eubacteria and also occurs in some archaea.
Source: RNAcentral
UUACUAGGGGAGCCAUUUGGCUGAGAAGUUUAGACUGACCCUUUGAACCUGAUACGGUUAAUACCGACGUAGGGAAGUAGCGAAA